GACGAACGCUGGCGGCGUGCUUAACACAUGCAAGUCGAACGGUAAGGCCCUUCGGGGUACACGAGUGGCGAACGGGUGAGUAACACGUGGGUGAUCUGCCCUGCACUUCGGGAUAAGCCUGGGAAACUGGGUCUAAUACCGGAUAGGACUCCUGCCUGCAUGGGUGGGGGUGGAAAGCUUUUGCGGUGUGGGAUGGGCCCGAGGCCUAUCAGCUUGUUGGUGGGGUGAUGGCCUACCAAGGCGACGACGGGUAGCCGGCCUGAGAGGGUGACCGGCCACACUGGGACUGAGAUACGGCCCAGACUCCUACGGGAGGCAGCAGUGGGGAAUAUUGCACAAUGGGCGCAAGCCUGAGUCAGCGACGCCGCGUGAGGGAUGACGGCCUUCGGGUUGUAAACCUCUUUCAGCACAGACGAAGCGCAAGUGACGGUAUGUGCAGAAGAAGGACCGGCCAACUACGUGCCAGCCGCCGCGGUAA
RNAcentral lists this ribosomal RNA (478 nucleotides) under uncultured bacterium. RNAcentral describes it as "partial 16S ribosomal RNA". It matches the Rfam family "Bacterial small subunit ribosomal RNA", at positions 28 to 523 of the family's 1533-position model. The record is from RNAcentral.